AGGUCAGGACGAACGCUGGCGGCGUGCCUAAUACAUGCAAGUCGAAACGCUUCUUUUCCCACCGGAGCUUGCUCCACCGGGAAAAGAGGAGUGGCGAACGGGUGAGUAACACGUGGGUAACCUGCCCAUCAGAAGGGGAUAACACUUGGAAACAGGUGCUAAUACCGUAUAACAAUCGAAACCGCAUGGUUUCGUUUUGAAAGGCGCUUUACGGUGCCGCUGAUGGAUGGACCCGCGGUGCAUUAGCUAGUUGGUGAGGUAACGGCUCACCAAGGCCACGAUGCAUAGCCGACCUGAGAGGGUGAUCGGCCACAUUGGGACUGAGACACGGCCCAAACUCCUACGGGAGGCAGCAGUAGGGAAUCUUCGGCAAUGGACGAAAGUCUGACCGAGCAACGCCGCGUGAGUGAAGAAGGUUUUCGGAUCGUAAAACUCUGUUGUUAGAGAAGAACAAGGGUGAGAGUAACUGUUCACCCCUUGACGGUAUCUAACCAGAAAGCCACGGCUAACUACGUGCCAGCAGCCGCGGUAAUACGUAGGUGGCAAGCGUUGUCCGGAUUUAUUGGGCGUAAAGCGAGCGCAGGCGGUUUCUUAAGUCUGAUGUGAAAGCCCCCGGCUCAACCGGGGAGGGUCAUUGGAAACUGGGAGACUUGAGUGCAGAAGAGGAGAGUGGAAUUCCAUGUGUAGCGGUGAAAUGCGUAGAUAUAUGGAGGAACACCAGUGGCGAAGGCGGCUCUCUGGUCUGUAACUGACGCUGAGGCUCGAAAGCGUGGGGAGCAAACAGGAUUAGAUACCCUGGUAGUCCACGCCGUAAACGAUGAGUGCUAAGUGUUGGAGGGUUUCCGCCCUUCAGUGCUGCAGCUAACGCAUUAAGCACUCCGCCUGGGGAGUACGACCGCAAGGUUGAAACUCAAAGGAAUUGACGGGGGCCCGCACAAGCGGUGGAGCAUGUGGUUUAAUUCGAAGCAACGCGAAGAACCUUACCAGGUCUUGACAUCCUUUGACCACUCUAGAGAUAGAGCUUCCCCUUCGGGGGCAAAGUGACAGGUGGUGCAUGGUUGUCGUCAGCUCGUGUCGUGAGAUGUUGGGUUAAGUCCCGCAACGAGCGCAACCCUUAUUGUUAGUUGCCAUCAUUUAGUUGGGCACUCUAGCAAGACUGCCGGUGACAAACCGGAGGAAGGUGGGGAUGACGUCAAAUCAUCAUGCCCCUUAUGACCUGGGCUACACACGUGCUACAAUGGGAAGUACAACGAGUCGCGAAGUCGCGAGGCUAAGCUAAUCUCUUAAAGCUUCUCUCAGUUCGGAUUGUAGGCUGCAACUCGCCUACAUGAAGCCGGAAUCGCUAGUAAUCGCGGAUCAGCACGCCGCGGUGAAUACGUUCCCGGGGCCUUGUACACACCGCCCCGUCACACCACGAAGAGUUUGUAACACCCGAAAGUCGGUGAGGUAACCUUUUUUGGAACCCGCCCCCCUAAGGUGGGAAUAGAUGAUUUGGGGGUGAAAUUCCUAAACAAGGGUAGCCGUAAUCGGAAGGGUGGGGCUGGA
This 1545-nucleotide ribosomal RNA is filed under the name Enterococcus mundtii. Its description in RNAcentral is "bacterial SSU rRNA". It matches the Rfam family "Bacterial small subunit ribosomal RNA". Lineage: Bacteria; Bacillati; Bacillota; Bacilli; Lactobacillales; Enterococcaceae. The record is from RNAcentral.